GUUUAGGGUUUAGGGUUUGGGUUUAGGGUUAUAGGAAGACCAAGCGCUUUGAUUUUUUAUUUUGAUUUUUUUUCUAAAAAUAGAUGACAAAUUCCGAAUUUGAAAUAAGAACAUAUAAAUAGAACCAAUUGCAUUAUGGGAUAAUCACAUGAAUUUUGAAGUCAUUACGUGGAGUUUUCAAUACUGUUGAUGAUUUGUGUUUUUGGAGUGAACCGAAAUGAAUUCUGUAGAUAGUUUAUGAAAGAUGCUGUGAAAUGGAGUGGCUGUUGCCGUCUAGUGAUGAUUCUGUUAGCCAGAUAGCCCACGAAAAUGCCUUAUCUGUGUGUGCGAAUUAUCUUAGAUAUGAGAAUAUUUAUGACUAUUUACAUCGAAUGGAGGAAAAUGUUAUUUGCACGCGCAGUGUGAAUAUCACAUUUGGGGAAUAUUCCCUAUUAUUAGAUAAGAAAUGUGAUGUUGAUGGCGUAGUUAUGGAGUUGAAGGAAUUAAAAGCU
Ostrea edulis (European flat oyster) is the source of this 491-nucleotide long non-coding RNA. RefSeq lists it as uncharacterized. The record is from RefSeq and is a predicted model, not a curated record. The transcript is spliced from 2 exons. Lineage: Eukaryota; Metazoa; Mollusca; Bivalvia; Ostreida; Ostreidae.